Molecule: ribosomal RNA, 174 nt
Filed under: bacterium
Lineage: Bacteria
Description: partial 16S ribosomal RNA
Rfam family: Bacterial small subunit ribosomal RNA
Source: RNAcentral
UUAUUUGAGAGUUUGAUCCUGGCUCAGGAUGAACGCUGGCGGCGUGGAUAAGGCAUGCAAGUCGAGGGAUACUAAGGUCGCAAGACCGAGGUAGACCGGCAGACGGGUUAGUAACACGUGGGUGACAUACCUUCAAGACAGGGACAGCCUAGAGAAAUCUAGGGUAAUACCUGA